GCCGUGGCUCAUUGGUAAAGCAUUUGCUUGGCAUGCUGAAAGUCUCAGGUUCAAUGCCUGGCACCUGCA
RNAcentral lists this transfer RNA (69 nucleotides) under Sphaerodactylus townsendi. RNAcentral describes it as "tRNA-Ala". It matches the Rfam family "tRNA". From Rfam's summary of the family: Transfer RNA (tRNA) molecules are approximately 80 nucleotides in length. Their secondary structure includes four short double-helical elements and three loops (D, anti-codon, and T loops). Further hydrogen bonds mediate the characteristic L-shaped molecular structure. tRNAs have two regions of fundamental functional importance: the anti-codon, which is responsible for specific mRNA codon recognition, and the 3' end, to which the tRNAs corresponding amino acid is attached (by aminoacyl-tRNA synthetases). tRNAs cope with the degeneracy of the genetic code in two manners: having more than one tRNA (with a specific anti-codon) for a particular amino acid; and 'wobble' base-pairing, i.e. permitting non-standard base-pairing at the 3rd anti-codon position. The record is from RNAcentral. Lineage: Eukaryota; Metazoa; Chordata; Lepidosauria; Squamata; Sphaerodactylidae.